GAGAAAAACAGUUCGGCAGCUGUCUUGAUGAAACUCACUCCACCACUGCCUGAGAGUUUCACUGUGGAUCUUUAUUUCUCAUAUCCAUUGUGACUUUAUAAGCAUGAUGGCUGAACCUUCUUUCAUCACAGGCUCUCUGCGUCCAGACGGAGCUGUAAAGUAUCAUUCUGACGUGUUAGAGAGGAUCAGCCAUGAGAAACAAACGGAGUGUAGAACACAUACAGAAAACUGCUGGAGCUUCAGAAACCACAGACAAGCAAAAACCAACAGGACAGAGAGAGAAACAGAGGCCAGAAAUGAGACACAAACUACUGGAUCACAAGAGAAAAGCAGACAGACACAUACAAGAUGGAACAGUAUGGGGAAAACAAAGCCAGACUUGAAGACCUGAACAACAUCAGAGUCCAGAUACCUGCGGCUGAAGACCACAACAUCAUCAUCAUCAUCAUCACAGACUCCAUCCAUCCAUGGACUCUUUUACAGACUCGAUCUCAAACUAACAGAAAUCUGAGUCGUUUCUUUCCCAGAUAACUGAUAACUGUUUUAUUGCUUUGAUGCUGCACUUUACUCUCACCAUUUUUACACCAUGAUCCACCUCUGCAUUUGUGUCACAAAGAGACUGUGUUUCGUUUUGCGCUACCUCAUAUGUCUCAUGUACAUAAGAUCCACAUCUUUGUAUUUGUAUCACAAAGAGACUGUGAGAGAAUUACAAAGAGAAUUACAAAAUAAUUGUAAUCAGUUUUAGUUACUGAGAAAAAAAUGUGUAAUUCAAUUACAGUUACUUAUGAAAAUGUUAAAGAUUACAAAGGGGGUUACUUUUGAAUAUUUUUAACACACACACCCACAUACAGAUUUAACUGAUUUCUUUCAUAAAUUGCAUUGACUGAUCUAAAAUAUGAGACACCGAUGUUUCAGGAGUUUAGGACACAG
RNAcentral lists this long non-coding RNA (930 nucleotides) under Sinocyclocheilus grahami. RNAcentral describes it as "lncRNA (ENSSGRG00000009524.1)". Lineage: Eukaryota; Metazoa; Chordata; Actinopteri; Cypriniformes; Cyprinidae. The record is from RNAcentral.